GUGGGGAAUAUUGGGCAAUGGGGGCAACCCUGACCCAGCGACGCCGCGUGAGGGAAGAAGGCCUUAGGGUCGUAAACCUCUGUUGUGUGGGAAGAAGGAAGUGACGGUACCACACGAGGAAGUCCCGGCUAACUACGUGCCAGCAGCCGCGGUAAUACGUAGGGGACGAGCGUUGUCCGGAAUUACUGGGCGUAAAGGGCGCGUAGGCGGUCAUUUAAGUCAGCUGUGAAAUGGUCCGGCUCAACCGGAUCAUGCGGUUGAAACUGGAUGACUGGAGUGCUGGAGAGGCAAGGGGAAUUCCCAGUGUAGCGGUGAAAUGCGUAGAUAUUGGGAAGAACACCGGUGGCGAAGGCGACUUGCUGGCCAGCAACUGACGCUGAGGCGCGAAAGCCAGGGGAGCAAACGGGAUUAGAUACCCGGGUAGUCC
This 427-nucleotide ribosomal RNA is filed under the name uncultured bacterium. RNAcentral's name for it is "partial 16S ribosomal RNA". It matches the Rfam family "Bacterial small subunit ribosomal RNA", at positions 354 to 796 of the family's 1533-position model. The record is from RNAcentral.